UACGGAGGAUGCAAGCGUUAUCCGGAAUGAUUGGGCGUAAAGCGUCCGCAGGUGGCUAUGUAAGUCUGCUGUUAAAGAGUGAGGCUCAACCUCAUAAGAGCAGUGGAAACUACAUGGCUAGAGUGCGUUCGGGGCAGAGGGAAUUCCUGGUGUAGCGGUGAAAUGCGUAGAGAUCAGGAAGAACACCGGUGGCGAAAGCGCUCUGCUAGGCCGCAACUGACACUCAGGGACGAAAGCUAGGGGAGCGAAUGGG
RNAcentral lists this ribosomal RNA (253 nucleotides) under uncultured bacterium. Its description in RNAcentral is "partial 16S ribosomal RNA". It matches the Rfam family "Bacterial small subunit ribosomal RNA", at positions 524 to 776 of the family's 1533-position model. The record is from RNAcentral.